Gymnodraco acuticeps is the source of this 380-nucleotide long non-coding RNA. RefSeq lists it as uncharacterized. The record is from RefSeq and is a predicted model, not a curated record. NCBI's taxonomy places the organism in Eukaryota, Metazoa, Chordata, Actinopteri, Perciformes, Bathydraconidae. The transcript has 3 exons.
GCUAGAUAUCACUGCUCUCAUCAAUGGAAGUGCUCUGCCAAUUCCUCAAGUUGGACAAGUGAAUAUUAAAUAUCCUCCUAAAGAGCUGAAAGAAGACUCUUGUUCAUCACGCUUCAAAUCCCGUGAGCCUCCAAGAACCACCGAUGACAGCAUGUCUGGCUUCUCUCCUGGUUUGCUGUGUUCUCCUGUCCUCACCCUCGUGCUAGCGGCGAUACUUUUGAUACCUUGAAGCACAUCUCGCCUGUGAGCCUGUGACUUAAGAUUUUCAUCAUCAUCAUAACUACACUGUAGCUAUGUACGUAUGACUAAUAAAAGCCUUGAACCUCAGCUCAUGACGGACCCGUAAUGCAAAGUUAUUCAGCUGUUGUACGUUUACGUUU